RNAcentral lists this unclassified non-coding RNA (87 nucleotides) under Pseudomonas azotoformans. Lineage: Bacteria; Pseudomonadati; Pseudomonadota; Gammaproteobacteria; Pseudomonadales; Pseudomonadaceae. The record is from RNAcentral.
GUGGGAGGGGGCUUGCCCCCGAUGACGGUGGAUCAGUCAGCUUACCUGUUACUGACCCACUGCUAUCGGGGGCAAGCCCCCUCCCAC